AUUAAAAAAAUUCAUCCAUCCAUUUGUACUGCUAAAAUAUUGGCAUAGAUGACGAAAUAACCAAACAAUAACACGUGGCAUGCCACAUGUACAUUGUGCUGAUGUACAGGGACCAGUUUUUAAUAGUAGAAAUGGAUGAAAUGUUUUACA
Non-coding RNA from Gossypium hirsutum (cotton), 150 nucleotides. The record is from Rfam. Lineage: Eukaryota; Viridiplantae; Streptophyta; Magnoliopsida; Malvales; Malvaceae.